UACGUAGGGUGCGAGCGUUGUCCGGAAUUAUUGGGCGUAAAGAGCUCGUAGGCGGUGUGUCACGUCGGCCGUGAAAACCUGCAGCUUAACUGUGGGCGUGCGGUCGAUACGGGCAUCACUGGAGUUCGGCAGGGGAGACUGGAAUUCCUGGUGUAGCGGUGAAAUGCGCAGAUAUCAGGAGGAACACCGGUGGCGAAGGCGGGUCUCUGGGAAACAACUGACGCUGAGGAACGAAAGCGUGGGUAGCAAACAGG
This 254-nucleotide ribosomal RNA is filed under the name uncultured bacterium. RNAcentral describes it as "partial 16S ribosomal RNA". It matches the Rfam family "Bacterial small subunit ribosomal RNA", at positions 524 to 776 of the family's 1533-position model. The record is from RNAcentral.